AGUCCCGUAGCUCAGUAGUUAGAGCGCUCGCCUCGUAAGCGAGAGACCCGGGUUCGAUUCCCGGCAGGGCGA
This 72-nucleotide transfer RNA is filed under the name Callorhinchus milii (elephant shark). RNAcentral's name for it is "tRNA-Thr (CGT) (tRNA-Thr-CGT-19-1)". It matches the Rfam family "tRNA". From Rfam's summary of the family: Transfer RNA (tRNA) molecules are approximately 80 nucleotides in length. Their secondary structure includes four short double-helical elements and three loops (D, anti-codon, and T loops). The record is from Rfam by way of RNAcentral. Lineage: Eukaryota; Metazoa; Chordata; Chondrichthyes; Chimaeriformes; Callorhinchidae.